This 221-nucleotide long non-coding RNA is filed under the name Elaeis guineensis (African oil palm). RNAcentral's name for it is "long non-coding RNA (EGUI_LNC049132)". Lineage: Eukaryota; Viridiplantae; Streptophyta; Magnoliopsida; Arecales; Arecaceae. The record is from RNAcentral.
UUCCUCCCCUCUUCAUGUCCAAAGAGUUGGACAUCCAUCUGGAAAAGAUCCAAGGCGUGGUGAUGCCUGGAACUGAAGGCUGCAGGACAUCUUCGACAGGCUACUACUCCAACUUUAGAAGGAGUUCUGAAGUACUUUCAAAUUAGAUAGAGAUCUAAUUUUUAGAGCAUAGAUUCACAAAGAGAAGACAUUCUAGAUCUUGCCUAAGUGGAUACCGGUAG